This 318-nucleotide long non-coding RNA is filed under the name Gallus gallus (chicken). The record is from RNAcentral. Lineage: Eukaryota; Metazoa; Chordata; Aves; Galliformes; Phasianidae.
CCGUUGUUGAGCAGCUUCUCCUUGUUGUACAGCAACUCCUCGUGCGUCUCCGUCGAGAACUCAAAGUUGGGACCCUCCACGAUGGCAUCCACAGGGCAGGCCUCCUGGCAGAAGCCACAGUAGAUGCACUUGGUCAUGUCGAUGUCGUAGCGCGUGGUGCGGCGGCUGCCGUCCGCCCUGGGCUCGGCCUCAAUGGUGAUGGCCUGUGCGGGGCAGAUGGCCUCACAGAGCUUGCAGGCGAUGCAGCGUUCCUCGCCCGACGGGUAGCGGCGCAGUGCGUGCUCCCCACGGAAGCGUGGGCUCAGCGGUCCCUUCUCA